RNAcentral lists this small nuclear RNA (133 nucleotides) under Ustilago bromivora. Its description in RNAcentral is "U4 spliceosomal RNA". It matches the Rfam family "U4 spliceosomal RNA". Rfam says of the family: U4 small nuclear RNA (U4 snRNA) is a component of the major U2-dependent spliceosome. The structure of U4 snRNA from yeast and human has been reported. The record is from Rfam by way of RNAcentral. Lineage: Eukaryota; Fungi; Basidiomycota; Ustilaginomycetes; Ustilaginales; Ustilaginaceae.
AUCCUUUAGUGAGGCAGGCGCUUCAUCCAGUGAGGUCUUUACCGAGGAGAAGCUUAUUGCUGAUUGCAAAUUACCAUAUUGCACGUCCUUGCUGUCAUCUAUGACUGCCUGGCAAUUUUUGGCACCCAUUCCU